AGAGUUUGAUCAUGGCUCAGAUUGAACGCUGGCGGCAGGCCUAACACAUGCAAGUCGAACGGUAACAGGAAACAGCUUGCUGAUUCGCUGACGAGUGGCGGACGGGUGAGUAAUGUCUGGGAAACUGCCUGAUGGAGGGGGAUAACUACUGGAAACGGUAGCUAAUACCGCAUAACGUCGCAAGACCAAAGAGGGGGACCCUCGGGCCUCUUGCCAUCGGAUGUGCCCAGAUGGGAUUAGCUUGUUGGUGGGGUAACGGCUCACCAAGGCGACGAUCCCUAGCUGGUCUGAGAGGAUGACCAGCCACACUGGAACUGAGACACGGUCCAGACUCCUACGGGAGGCAGCAGUGGGGAAUAUUGCACAAUGGGCGCAAGCCUGAUGCAGCCAUGCCGCGUGUAUGAAGAAGGCCUUCGGGUUGUAAAGUACUUUCAGCGGGAGGAAGGGAGUAAAGUUAAUACCUUUGCUCAUUGACGUUACCCGCAGAAGAAGCACCGGCUAACUCCGUGCCAGCAGCCGCGGUAAUACGGAGGGUGCAAGCGUUAAUCGGAAUUACUGGGCGUAAAGCGCACGCAGGCGGUUUGUUAAGUCAGAUGUGAAAUCCCCGGGCUCAACCUGGGAACUGCAUCUGAUACUGGCAAGCUUGAGUCUCGUAGAGGGGGGUAGAAUUCCAGGUGUAGCGGUGAAAUGCGUAGAGAUCUGGAGGAAUACCGGUGGCGAAGGCGGCCCCCUGGACGAAGACUGACGCUCAGGUGCGAAAGCGUGGGGAGCAAACAGGAUUAGAUACCCUGGUAGUCCACGCCGUAAACGAUGUCGACUUGGAGGUUGUGCCCUUGAGGCGUGGCUUCCGGAGCUAACGCGUUAAGUCGACCGCCUGGGGAGUACGGCCGCAAGGUUAAAACUCAAAUGAAUUGACGGGGGCCCGCACAAGCGGUGGAGCAUGUGGUUUAAUUCGAUGCAACGCGAAGAACCUUACCUGGUCUUGACAUCCACGGAAGUUUUCAGAGAUGAGAAUGUGCCUUCGGGAACCGUGAGACAGGUGCUGCAUGGCUGUCGUCAGCUCGUGUUGUGAAAUGUUGGGUUAAGUCCCGCAACGAGCGCAACCCUUAUCCUUUGUUGCCAGCGGUCCGGCCGGGAACUCAAAGGAGACUGCCAGUGAUAAACUGGAGGAAGGUGGGGAUGACGUCAAGUCAUCAUGGCCCUUACGACCAGGGCUACACACGUGCUACAAUGGCGCAUACAAAGAGAAGCGACCUCGCGAGAGCAAGCGGACCUCAUAAAGUGCGUCGUAGUCCGGAUUGGAGUCUGCAACUCGACUCCAUGAAGUCGGAAUCGCUAGUAAUCGUGGAUCAGAAUGCCACGGUGAAUACGUUCCCGGGCCUUGUACACACCGCCCGUCACACCAUGGGAGUGGGUUGCAAAAGAAGUAGGUAGCUUAACCUUCGGGAGGGCGCUUACCACUUUGUGAUUUAUGACUGGGGUGAAGUCGUAACAAGGUAACCGUAGGGGAACCUGCGGUUG
This 1521-nucleotide ribosomal RNA is filed under the name metagenome. RNAcentral describes it as "bacterial SSU rRNA". It matches the Rfam family "Bacterial small subunit ribosomal RNA". The record is from RNAcentral.